GUGAAUGUUAUUCACGUUAUGUAAAAGUAAUAUUUUAUGAUAGAUUACACCUCUAAUUCGAAGGAUCUAAGGAGUCCCGGCGACUCUGUUCAUACUGAGGCGGGCCCGAGUGCGCGAGCGGACCUGCCGUGUGGCUGUCGUAAAAAAAGUUUUUGUAAACAUCCGGUCCAUUUAACACAGCGCUGCGUCAUAAAGCUGGAGCGCUGGGAAGACGACGAUGUUAUCUUCCUUCUGUCAGGAGGAUCCAAGUGAAGCUACAGGAGUUUCAGCAACGUCAAAAACUUGGACCGAACUGUUUGUUUUGCUUGAUGAGGAACAGGAAGGGAAGACUGGAGAGAAGGAGAAGCCGAGUGGAGGCCACUCCACCAUCCACAUACAUCGAAGAAGAUGAGGGAGAGAAAUUAUCCUACCAUUAAAGAGGGUGAUACAAUCAUAUACUUUUUCAGUGGACAUUGCUGAUCUAGUUGAAAACCUUGUAAGCUGUGGAUUGGUUCACUAUAUAUGAGGAUCUCAAGACUGCGGUUCCGGGAAUGUCACAUCAAGCUUUUGUUAGCAUGCCUGAACAUCGCACAAAAGUCUUAGGCCGUUGAGUAUAAAAUGGAAGUAAUUACCCACUGCUUGCAAUAUGUUUCCCAUAUAUUUACUGUAAUAUAGUGUUUGAUUUUUGUCUUUUUCUAGCAGAUUGUUAAGAUAUGCAGGGAUACCAUGCUAAAUGCAUUACUGGAAUAGACCCAUGCCAAAUUUGAAGUUGAGGGGCUGUUUCAGGUGCAGCAUUCAGUGCCCUGCGUGCACACCCUCCCUGUUGGCUUUUGCAGUGCAUGGGAUCCGUAAACUGUACGGCUUUAAGAGCCAACGCACCUGUCGCCUGUCUCAAGAAAUACAUGUGCAAAGUUUUCCUCUGUUAUGUAUAAUGAUGACCCCCAUCAAACAUAAUGUUAGCAAUAUUUACACCUUUUAAUUUAUACGGUUUAUUUCUGUUAACAUGUGUGAAUUUGCCUUCAUUAGUUUCAGAAAAGAGCGAUGAUGUACCGGUCAGGCGGCGGCAGCACAAGACUCGGCAAACUAGUCUGUAAGCAGAGUAGAUGUAGGCAUUGAGGUUGCCGUCUACCAUCAUUGUUAUUUUGCUUAAGGGACUGAAUACGUUUCAUGCAGAAAUAUUUGCAUUUCCCUUAUAUAUACAAAAACUGCUUGUUUCACAGACUGCAUUUUUGUUUUGCUCCCAUGUGGUGUGCAAAUACUAACCGUAUCUGCAAUGUGUUGUGCGGCAUUAACAUUUUGUAAAUCUAAUUUUGUUUUGACAGACUGUGCAAAGGACCUUGAGAUCAUCCCCACUCUACAGGAAGACACAGUCCAGUAAUGGGUGUCAGAAGUUCAGUAGUGGACGACAAGUACUGUGGAAAAAAUGGAGUACUGAGGCAUUUACAGAGACGGGACGUGAGGGCCUACUCUGCGUGCUCAAGAGAAGAUUGCACAGAGUUCAAGCUCAGCAGGCUGCAGCAGGUCUGACAUAUUGUGGAACGGCAACAAUGUCUUUGGAUGACUCCUGACUGAUGAAGAACUGUGAGGGCUGUGCUUUGACAGGAUGAAUGUCUGAUGUGGCUGGAGACCUUACCUGUUCCUGGAGGGGGGCAUUUGUCACAGUGAGGGCCCCAGGCUUUGCCCACACUGCAGCAGCAGAGCUGUUUACUCAGCUGGGCAGAAACUGGGUGCAAACACUGUCUGCCUGAGCUGACCAAACGGAAGCAAGCCCCCUUCUCCUCUUGGAUGGCAGGAGUGUCGGCUGAAGAGGAGCGCAGAAGGUGGACAGAAGGAGGAGGGGGAGGUGUAGGAAGUGGAGCACCAGAGUGUAGGAGACAUAUACAUGGGAGAAAGAGAGGACAGAGUGGAGAAAUAAAGGGGUCCCUUUCACCAAAACAUGUCCCCUUCUCACCUGUACAGAAUUGUGCCCUUAACACUACAGUCUAAACUUUUUUCUAAAUCACCAGACUACAUAAAGCAAAACAUAUUUGUUACAGUGAGAAGUGGGGAAACUAAAUAUUGUGCUGGCACAAACAAUGACAAUGAUACAGUUUAAGAUUUUACACAAAACACAGACAUAGAAAGCACAUACAAUAUGUUGCAGGAAAGAAGCACAUACAAAAACAUGGCAAAAUUUCAUGCACUAUGAAGGUAAGGCGUUGGCUCAGAUUUAGGCAUGCAGGAGGGUUUGGCUUGGUCUGUGUUUUCCGAAUCCUUGAGUUUUCCAUUUUGUCUGAAACUAGUUUUCUCUGGGACCCUACCUAAUGUAACCAGUGAGGACAUGGUAAGUGCACAUCAUUGAUAUGAAACAGUCAGGAACUUGGGAGUGAUCUUUGAUCCUGAUUUGUCCUUUAAUUCACACCUACAACAAAUCUCUAGGACAUCCUUUUUCCACUUGCGUAAUAUCUAAAAAAUUAGACAUGUCCUUUCGCAACAAGAUGCAGAAAAACUAGUCCACGCCUUUGUUACAUCGAGACUGGACUAAUGUAAUUCAUUACUAUCAGGCUCCAGCAGAAAGUCGUUAAAGACUCUACAGCUUGUCCAAAAUGCCGCAGCACAUGUCCUGACGAGAACCAAGAAAAGAGAGCACAUUUCUCCAGUAUUAGCAUAGCUCUACUGGCUUCCGGUUAAAUCUAGAAUAGAAUUUAAAAUUCUCCUCCUCACCUUCAAGGCCCUUAAUAAUAUGGCGCCUUUUUACCUUAAAGAGCUGUUAAUACCCUAUCAACCCACUAGAGAACUCCACUCCCAGAAUUCAGGCUUACUUGUCGUCCCUAAAGUCUCUAAAAGUAGAGUAGGAGCCAGAGCUUUCAGCCAUCAAGCCCCUCUGCUGUGGAAUAAUCUACCACUUUCAGUUCGGGAGGCCGACACCAUCUGUUCGUUUAAGAGUAGGCUUAAAACCUUCCUUUUUGAUAAAGCUUAUAGUUAGAGCUGGUCCAGUCUUACACCUGCUCUUAGGUAUGCUGCUAGAAGGUUGAUUACCUCAACUGGCGCUAUGCCUUAAUUAGUGCGGCAGAACUUAACUUAUCUUAUGUUCUAAAAUAGGAGGCGUUUAGUUUAAAAAGGCAUAGAGGUAUUGAUAUCUGAUCUACUGAGUGGGCCACAUGGUUUUCAUCGUAGUACCAUACAAACCAGUAGCCAGUCAGAUUUACCUUGAGCCUCAGUGUACCCGCAAGUUUGGCAUGUAUCAUUGUAUCAUUGAUUACAAGGCAAAAACACCUGAUGGUGCAGAGGAAAUUUAUGACACAUGACACACGGAGCUUCUCUUUCCAACUUCUCCUUCCUCUUCUCCAUCCUUAUCACAUCAAAAUAAUUCAUAUCACAUCAAUACAUGUUUCUGACUUGACCCCUCCAAACAGAAAGUACAAGUCAGGCACACUAGCUGCUGUCUGAGUAUGUACUUAUAGACACAGCCGUGCUAAGCUAAGUUUUAUGUCCGAUUGCUGUUUUAUGUCCAACGCACCAACCCCACCCAGUCAAUUUCCUGUAUGGAAUUCUGAUUAUUCGAUCAUGGAGAAAACACUUUCAUAAUAACAGUGCUGAUAUGCUGAUGUCUACCAGUUUGUUUAGCAAGAUAGCAAAAUAUGUUUGUUUUUAUGUUUGUUUUGUUUGAUGAGACAAAAAAAAGCUUUUGGUCAUAAUACUGUGCAAAACUUUUGCAAAAAAUGGAUAGCAGCUAAUAGGUUAUUUAGUUUCCUAAAUGUUCUUAUAUUUUAGCUCUUUAUUCUCUCAGAUUUGUCAAGGCCAUACUUUUGAUCAACAUCAAAAACUGCUGUCAAACCUCACCAAGGUUGAACUUGAAAAAAAAUAUUUAUUGGAAUUUACCCAAUGUCCAGCACAUGUUUAUAAUAGUCAAAUCUUUUGUUUUAGCUUUUGCUGUAAUUUACCUACAUUUUCGAUCAUAAUUAAGCUAUGUGCUUAGUGAUUGUGAAUGCACAACUGUUUUAGAAAGCUGGUAACAAUAACACUCCUUUGCUGAACCUUUGUUAUCAUUACUAGCUGUGGUGACGGAUGGACACUUGGCUUUCCUUGGCCAUGAGAUAUAAAGAGAACCAAGACACAUACACAGUACGAGUGCUGUAUUACUCAAUUCCAGAGCCCAAGCCCAACUGACUCGACUCAACUCAGACUUGAGGUUUAGUGACUCAGCGACAACACUGUAUAGUAUGCAGACAAACACAUGUACAUUACAAAACCAGGAAAACACAUGCUCAAAACAUGUCAACGUAUAAAGAAAACAACAAUGAGUACAGCUGAUUAAUCAUCAAAAGGAGCAGCUUUACUUCAAAAUACAUCUUCCUACUGUUUCUUCUUCUCUACCCCCUCAUAUUAUGCUGGGUUUUUUGUUCUGUGAUACAUGCUAGAGACAGCAUCUGAUUAUUAAAGAAACACCAUGCGUUUAUCCAUGCACUGCAUUCAAAUGUAUAUUAACCAGCACAAUUUCCUUAGCAUCAUUCCUAGCAGCCUUUACUAUCUAGCUAGUACUUUGGAGCAAUUGACCAGGAAAAUCAAUGGAAUAUCCCCUGUCAUAAUAUGAUCACAAAGGUGCCACUCUUAUAUGAACAUUUUCCAAUUAUAAAUCUGCACAUUAAAGAAAA
Molecule: long non-coding RNA, 4613 nt
Organism: Pleuronectes platessa (European plaice)
Lineage: Eukaryota; Metazoa; Chordata; Actinopteri; Pleuronectiformes; Pleuronectidae
Exons: 5
Source: RefSeq, a predicted model, not a curated record